UGGGGAAUAUUGCGCAAUGGAGGGAACUCUGACGCAGCAACGCCGCGUGAAGGAUGAAGGUUUUCGGAUUGUAAACUUCUUUGAUCGGGGACGAAAAUGACGGUACCCGAGGAACAAGCCACGGCUAACUACGUGCCAGCAGCCGCGGUAAUACGUAGGUGGCAAGCGUUGUCCGGAAUUACUGGGUGUAAAGGGCGCGUAGGCGGGAGAGCAAGUCAGAUGUGAAAUCCCAGGGCUUAACUCUGGAGCUGCAUCUGAAACUGUUUUUCUUGAGUACUGGAGAGGAAAGUGGAAUUCCUAGUGUAGCGGUGAAAUGCGUAGAGAUUAGGAGGAACACCAGUGGCGAAGGCGGCUUUCUGGACAGUAACUGACGCUGAGGCGCGAAAGCGUGGGGAGCAAACAGG
RNAcentral lists this ribosomal RNA (404 nucleotides) under uncultured bacterium. RNAcentral describes it as "bacterial SSU rRNA". It matches the Rfam family "Bacterial small subunit ribosomal RNA", at positions 355 to 776 of the family's 1533-position model. The record is from RNAcentral.